UAGCUAAUACCGAAUAAGGUCAAUUGAGGUGUUAAUUGAUGAAAGGAAGCCUUUAAAGCUUCGCUUGUAGAUGAGUCUGCGUCUUAUUAGCUAGUUGGUGGGAUAAGAGCCUACCAAGGCUAUGAUAAGUAACCGGCCUGAGAGGGUGAUCGGUCACACUGGAACUGAGAUACGGUCCAGACUCCUACGGGAGGCAGCAGCUAAGAAUCUUCCGCAAUGGGCGAAAGCCUGACGGAGCGACACUGCGUGAACGAAGAAGGUCGAAAGAUUGUAAAGUUCUUUUAUAAGUGAGGAAUAAGCUUUGUAGGAAAUGACAAAGUGAUGACGUUAAUUUAUGAAUAAGCCCCGGCUAAUUACGUGCCAGCAGCCGCGGUAAUACGUAAGGGGCGAGCGUUGUUCGGGAUCAUUGGGCGUAAAGGGUGAGUAGGCGGAUAUGCAAGUCUAUGUGUAAAAUACCACAGCUCAACUGUGGAACUAUGCUGGAAACUGCAUGACUAGAGUCUGAUAGGGGAAGUUAGAAUUCCUGGUGUAAGGGUGGAAUCUGUUGAUAUCAGGAAGAAUACCAGAGGCGAAGGCGAACUUCUAGGUCAAGACUGACGCUGAGUCACGAAAGCGUAGGGAGCAAACAGGAUUAGAUACCCUGGUAGUCUACGCUGUAAACGAUGCACACUUGGUGUUAAUCGAAAGGUUAGUACCGAAGCUAACGUGUUAAGUGUGCCGCCUGGGGAGUAUGUUCGCAAGAAUGAAACUCAAAGGAAUUGACGGGGGCCCGCACAAGCGGUGGAGCAUGUGGUUUAAUUCGAUGAUACGCGAGGAACCUUACCAGGGCUUGACAUAUACAGGAUAUAGUUAGAGAUGACUAUUCCCCGUUUGGGGUCUGUAUACAGGUGCUGCAUGGUUGUCGUCAGCUCGUGCCGUGAGGUGUUGGGUUAAGUCCCGCAACGAGCGCAACCCUUAUUGUCUGUUACCAGCAUGUAAAGAUGGGGACUCAGACGAGACUGCCGGUGAUAAGCCGGAGGAAGGUGAGGAUGACGUCAAAUCAUCAUGGCCCUUAUGUCCUGGGCUACACACGUGCUACAAUGGCCUGUACAAAGCGAUGCGAAACAGUGAUGUGAAGCAAAACGCAGAAAGCAGGUCUCAGUCCAGAUUGAAGU
RNAcentral lists this ribosomal RNA (1154 nucleotides) under Borrelia miyamotoi. RNAcentral describes it as "bacterial SSU rRNA". It matches the Rfam family "Bacterial small subunit ribosomal RNA", at positions 160 to 1304 of the family's 1533-position model. Lineage: Bacteria; Pseudomonadati; Spirochaetota; Spirochaetia; Spirochaetales; Borreliaceae. The record is from RNAcentral.